RNAcentral lists this long non-coding RNA (1483 nucleotides) under Nicotiana tabacum (common tobacco). Its description in RNAcentral is "long non-coding RNA (NTAB_LNC017179)". Lineage: Eukaryota; Viridiplantae; Streptophyta; Magnoliopsida; Solanales; Solanaceae. The record is from RNAcentral.
UAAUAAAAUAUAGGGUCUGAGCUUAGCUACACUUGUAGCUCCACCCCAGAAAGCAAAGGGUUAAGUUAAACUUAUGCACAACCUAUCCUAUAUAUCCUAAAUCCGCAUUUGACACCUAUAGUAUUGAUUUCAAAAAAACAAUAUUAUAAAAAGAAACAAAUACUAUAGGAUUAUGAUUUUAUAUAAAUUUUCAAGUUCUUUUUCUUCAAGUUUGCUCACAAAAUUAUUUUAUACCGCAAAAUAAGAAAAAUUGCAUCAUCAUCUCCUAGAAUCCAUAUGCAAGAGCUUCAGGUUGGAUUCAACACUACAUACAAUAUUCCAUUAUGGUCCUCACUAGCUCUUUGCUUGAAUUAAGCUCGCACGUCAGGAGUGUGUUAAUAAUAUAAUUAAAUAAAUAAAUAUACUCUUUCUAAUAUUUUAAACUUGUAGAAUGAACCAGCAACUCCUGCAACAAAGCAAUUAGGAUCAAAUAUUCCAUCAUCUCCCAUAUUCUCUCUCCUCAAAUCUUCAUGGAAUUCUGGCAACGAGCGGAAAAUGGUAUUUAAAUCAUUCCCAGGAAGAUCAUUCAAGUAAAUUUGAAAUUCCGGCGAUUGUUGUUGGCCGUUGCUUUUUCAAGUUUCAACAAAAUUUAUGUCCAAACGCUAGUUAAGUAAAAGAAAAUAAGUCUAAGCUUUAUGUUCCGAUAAGAUAAGAAAUACUAUCAGAUCACAUAAAUGAUAACUAUACGUUUUACACUGUACCUUUUACACUAUCAGUAUAUAUAAGUAAAAUUCAUAAGAACUUGUUAUUUAUAAUUGUUGCGAGUUUAUAACUCCAUUAGGAAUAAAAAGGUGUUUGAUGAUACCUGGAGCUUAGAGUUUUUUGCAUAGCUUGUGUCUCCAAUUCCUCCAUUCAUGUGAAGUAUUUUAGCAACUUCCAUCUCUCCUUCUCUUGCUAAUUGGAUAUUUUUGUGUUAAAUUAGGUAUUUAUAGAUGGGUGAAACUAAAUUUAUCCUUUGAAUUUCCAUCAUUGUCCUCGCGAGCCAACUGAGAAAAUAUUGUACACUAUGGGUGUGUUUGGUAUGAAAUAUUUUUUAAUUUUUCCAUAUUUUAUUGACUUAGAUAUUUUGGAAAAUAUUUUCCUCGUAACUCAUUUUUCUCCAAUUGGAGAAAAAUGUUCUCCCUAUCAAGAGAAGGGAAAAUAUUUUUCAAACAAGAAAAAUAAGUAAUAAAAUCACUUAUUCUCCAGGAAAGACAUAUAAAGAUCAAGGACUAGAAUCGUUAAGGGUAACUAGCUUAUUUUCCUAUUUGUGUACCUUAAUUAUAAGUAUUAUGACUUGAUCAAACCUAUUAAAACUAGUAGAAAUGACACUAGAUAGCCACUUUAAAACGCUGCUAUUUAGGAAUUAGCAAGUAUAUCCUGAAUUUUAGUUUUUCAGUUUAAUUUUUCGAGACACAAAUAUCUCUAAUUGUCUAAAAGUUAAGAUUUUUAGAUGAGAAAUUUA